RNAcentral lists this long non-coding RNA (968 nucleotides) under Homo sapiens (human). RNAcentral's name for it is "HIF1A stabilizing long noncoding RNA". Lineage: Eukaryota; Metazoa; Chordata; Mammalia; Primates; Hominidae. The record is from RNAcentral.
GUUAAACAAGUGCUUGAAGGCAGUAUGCUUGGUAAAAGUCAUCGCCAUUCUCUAAUCUUGAGUACCCAGGGACACGAUACACUGCGGAAGGCUGCAGGGACCUCUGCCCAGGAAAGCCAGAACAAGCCCUGUGAAAAACAAGCUGCUGUCCCUGCUAGAGGCAUCCUGCAAUCCAUGGAUGUUUAUCACCAAGCCAUUGUUAACAUGAGGUGGUUUCCAAAAGGAAAAGCUUUGGGAGAUAGAAGUCCUCGUUUUGACCUCUGCCCUCCUUGUACACCAGGAGCCAGAAAAACUUCAUCUCUUUUACAAGAAACAUUGAGAUUCCUGUAAAAUUAAGAAAUCACACAAUUUGAUGGUCUACAUUAUCUAAAGCAAAUGAGACUUCUAUUUGGAACAAAGACUACCUUGUUGGGAAAUGAGUCUGCAAGUUAAAGUGUUUUCUGUUUUCUAAGGAUAAUGGUCUCCAGCUUCGUCAAUGUUCCUGCAAAGGACAUGAUGCUGACUUUGAAGAUGCAAGCUUCCACAUCUACAGCCUCAAGGAAACAAAUUCAGCCAACCAACUGAGGGAGCUUUCCUUGUCCUGCCUCAAGAUGAGAUCACAGUCUGCCCAACACCAUGAUUUAGGCCUUGUGACACCUGGUAUGGAAGACCCAGUUAAGUUCUCUCCAAACUCUUGACCCACAGAACCUGUGAGAAAAUAUAUGGAUAUUAUUUUAAACUGCUAAAUUUGUAGUAAUUUGUUAUGCAGCAAUAAAAAAAACUAAUGCAAGGAGAUAUCAAUUAUUGUAAAAAGCUUAGCUUUUGUUUUAAAAUAUAGUUCACCAGUAGUAAGUUACUAAUAAGUAACUAAACAAAUAAAAGCAAGCCAUUUACAAAUCAAUAAUAAGAGUAAGUCAUGAACUAAAGAUUGUAAUUAAUCAAUUUCUGUACGCCUGUAAUGAAAAUAAAGGAGGAAAAGAAAAUGAAAG